AUUGAACGCUGGCGGCAGGCCUAACACAUGCAAGUCGAGCGGAUGAAGGGGGCUUGCUCCUGGAUUCAGCGGCGGACGGGUGAGUAAUGCCUAGGAAUCUGCCUGGUUGUGGGGGAUAACGUCCGGAAACGGGCGCUAAUACCGCAUACGUCCUGAGGGAGAAAGGGGGGGAUCUUCGGACCUCACGCUAUCAGAUGAGCCUAGGUCGGAUUAGCUAGUUGGUGGGGUAAAGGCCUACCAAGGCGACGAUCCGUAACUGGUCUGAGAGGAUGAUCAGUCACACUGGAACUGAGACACGGUCCAGACUCCUACGGGAGGCAGCAGUGGGGAAUAUUGGACAAUGGGCGAAAGCCUGAUCCAGCCAUGCCGCGUGUGUGAAGAAGGUCUUCGGAUUGUAAAGCACUUUAAGUUGGGAGGAAGGGCAGUAAGUUAAUACCUUGCUGUUUUGACGUUACCAACAGAAUAAGCACCGGCUAACUUCGUG
This 484-nucleotide ribosomal RNA is filed under the name uncultured bacterium. RNAcentral describes it as "partial 16S ribosomal RNA". It matches the Rfam family "Bacterial small subunit ribosomal RNA", at positions 30 to 507 of the family's 1533-position model. The record is from RNAcentral.